AUUGAACGCUGGCGGAAUGCUUUACACAUGCAAGUCGAACGAUGAACCUUAGCUUGCUAAGGGGAUUAGUGGCGAACGGGUGAGUAAUAUAUCGGAACGUGCCUUGUAAUGGGGGAUAACUAGUCGAAAGAUUAGCUAAUACCGCAUACGCCCUGAGGGGGAAAGUAGGGGAUCUUCGGACCUUACGUUAUAAGAGCGGCCGAUAUCUGAUUAGCUAGUUGGUGGGGUAAUGGCCUACCAAGGCGACGAUCAGUAGCUGGUCUGAGAGGACGACCAGCCACACUGGAACUGCGACACGGUCCAGACUCCUACGGGAGGCAGCAGUGGGGAAUUUUGGACAAUGGGCGCAAGCCUGAUCCAGCCAUUCCGCGUGAGUGAAGAAGGCCUUCGGGUUGUAAAGCUCUUUCGCAAGGGAAGAAAACUUACCAUCGAAUAAAUGGUGAGGCUGACGGUACCUGGAUAAGAAGCACCGGCUAACUACGUG
Molecule: ribosomal RNA, 484 nt
Filed under: uncultured bacterium
Lineage: Bacteria
Description: partial 16S ribosomal RNA
Rfam family: Bacterial small subunit ribosomal RNA
Source: RNAcentral